Molecule: long non-coding RNA, 201 nt
Filed under: Lathyrus oleraceus (garden pea)
Lineage: Eukaryota; Viridiplantae; Streptophyta; Magnoliopsida; Fabales; Fabaceae
Description: Pisum sativum (pea) long non-coding RNA (PSAT_LNC029303)
Source: RNAcentral
CAUUUCCAUUUUUACAUGGAGCAUUACACCAUAGAAAAAUUCAAACAUGCAUCGAGCAUGAGCCAAUUAGGGUCUUCUUGUUGAAAUAUUAAUUUGACGUAUCCCCACAAGAGUAAUCCUCACAAAGUACCCUAAUACAUGGUUCAUUACUAGCUUGGGCCUCUUUCCCAAAAGCCUAGUGUUUACUGGCGUUCCUUGGUC